Molecule: ribosomal RNA, 451 nt
Filed under: uncultured bacterium
Lineage: Bacteria
Description: partial 16S ribosomal RNA
Rfam family: Bacterial small subunit ribosomal RNA
Source: RNAcentral
GAUGAACGCUGGCGGCGUGCCUAACACAUGCAAGUCGAGCGGCAGCGAGGGGUGCUUGCACCCUGUCGGCGAGCGGCGGACGGCUGAGUAACGCGUGGGAACGUGCCCCAAAGUGAGGAAUAACUGCCCGAAAGGGUAGCUAAUACCGCAUAUUAUCUUCGGAUCAAAGGAUUUAUCCGCUUUGGGAGCGGCUCGCGUCGGAUUAGGUAGUUGGUGAGGUAAUGGCUCACCAAGCCGACGAUCCGUAGCUGGUCUGAGAGGAUGACCAGCCGGACUGGAACUGAGACACGGUCCAGACUCCUACGGGAGGCAGCAGUGAGGAAUCUUCCACAAUGGGCGAAAGCCUGAUGGAGCAACGCCGCGUGCAGGACGAAGGCCUUCGGGUUGUAAACUGCUUUUAUAAGUGAGGAAUAUGACGGUAACUUAUGAAUAAGGAUCGGCUAACUACGUG